Long non-coding RNA from Neofelis nebulosa (Clouded leopard), 2491 nucleotides. RefSeq lists it as uncharacterized. The record is from RefSeq and is a predicted model, not a curated record. Lineage: Eukaryota; Metazoa; Chordata; Mammalia; Carnivora; Felidae. The transcript has 3 exons.
CAGGCUGCUGUCAGCUCUCUUCUGGAUUAUGACAACAAGCACCUAAUUGAUCCCUCUGCUUCAAGUCUGCUCCAGUUCAAUCCUUCUACUUCCCAUUCUAAAAUAUAUCCUUCAAUACACACUAAUAAAUUGGCUACCUGGAGACGUAUUCAAAAAGCUAAUUAAGCAUCCAUCCACAAACAAAAGUGUCUCUGUGGGAGUCUUGUGAUCCAACAACAUAGCCCAAGAAACCCGGGAGGAGUCUCGCCCACCUGAUCAUCCCAUAAUAGACCACAGACAGACUUCAGUUUGGGCUGUGGAACUAGCAACCCCAACCCCAACCCUUCCCAGCUGUGUUUGGGGAAAAUUUUGAAAAGUGCUGACUUGGAUGAAACAAUUCCAGCACAUCGCUUAAGGAAACAAACAAACAAACAAACAAACAAACAAACAAUAAAGGGGUUUGAAGGAACUUUUCUGGCAUUGCCCCUCCCCUCCAAGUUGACAGCACAGAAUUGAACUAUCCGGUGGCACCACUCUGUGGGGGGAAGUGAGAGAUGUGUGUGAGUGCCUGGUUACCCCAACAACGCUGGAUGCAGCAGGGAAAAACCCAUUUCCCUCCGGGAACAUCCAGAGUCUGAAGUGGGACCCCCAUGACUGAGGGGAGGGAAGAAAUUGGGAAAGAGACAGAUAAGACUAUCAAAGGGCAUUAAAGAGACAUGGUUCAUGCUGACUGCACUCAGGAUGUCUGGAGAAAGUCCACCCACAAUCCACUGGGAGAACCUCAGCCAAGGAUCUCUCCACCAGCUGACAGACACCCCUCAUGCCCCAAGUGCUAAACCUACACUUUCCCUUGCUCUAAGGUGGCUCCUUACUCAGCCUCCAAGAUUGGCAGCAAAAGAAAGCUGGGUAAACUAGAGUGCUAUCAAAAAAAUAGACUAGGAUCUGUGGGCAAGAGAGAAACCACAAACUUGAGCUGUAGCACCACCUUCUGGAAAACAAAAGGGAGGUUUCUAGUAGCCAGCCAGGUGAGCUGUAAGAAGAUCCAGAAAAGACAUAAAAGCUUUAAAAAUUUUGCCACAAGAGGGAGUAAGAAGUGUGGAGCAGGUGUAUAAAUGCAAGUCCAGAUAAAACAGGAUCAAUGAACAAUAUACUCCAUCUGAAGGCAACUAGUGAAGAUUUGAGGAAGUGUCUUUUACUUUAAAGACAAAGCAGCAACACAAAGCUAUAAGGAACAUGAAGAAUCAAGAAACUUAUCACCACCAAAAGAUAAUAAUCCUUCAAUAAAGAUUUCAAAGACAUGAAAUCUUAUGAUCUAGCAGGUAAAGAAUUCAAAAUAACAAUGAGCCAUAAAGAAACACAGACGACAAUUCGAUGAAAUCAGGGAAAAAAUAUAUGGACAAAAUGAAAAAUUUAGCAAUGAGAUAGAAACCUUAAAAAAGAACCAGACAAAAUUCUGGAGCUGAAGAAUUCAAUGAUUGAAAUGAAAAAUGCAAUAGAGAGAAUCUGCAGCAGAGGAGAUCAAAUGGAAGACAAAAAGAAGUGACCUAGAAGCCAGUUGUUUUCAAAUAACCCAAUCAAAGGCAAACAGAGGGAAAAAAAAUGACAGAGUGAAGAAAGCCUAUGUGACCUGACCAUUCAGUCAGAUGUACAAAUAUUAGCAUAAUCAGAGUUCCAGAAGGAGAAGAGAGGAGGAAGAGACCAGAAAGAUUAUUUUUAAAAUAAUAGCUGAGGGCUGCCUGGGUGGCUCAGUCGGUUGGGUGUCCAAUUCAAGUUUGGCUCACCUCAUGAUCCCAGGGUCAUGGGAUCAAGCCCCACAUUAGGCUCCAUGCCGAGCAUGCAGUCUGCUUGGUAGUUCCUCUCUCUUUCCCUCUCUCUCUCUCUCUGUCCCUCCCCCCUGCUCAUGUGUGCUCUCUCUCUCUCUGUAUAAAUUAAAAAAAAAAAAAAUAGCUGAGAACUUCCAAAAACCGAGAAGAGGCUUUGGCAUCCAAGUUCAUGAAGCUAUUAGAUCACCCUAUUAUCUUAAAGCAAAAACACCUCCAAGACACAUUAUAAUGAAAUUAAGAAAAAGAAUCUUAAGCACAUCUAGAGUAAAAAAGAGUGUAACUUAUAAAGGAACACCCAUUAGGCUAUCAGUGGAUUUCUCAGCAGAAACUCCACAGGCCAGGGGAGAGUAGAAUGACAUACUUAAAGUGUUGAAAGAAAAAAUUGCCAGCCAAAAAUACUCUAUAUGGCAAAGUUAUCCUUCAGAUAUGAAGGAGGAAUAAAGACUUUCUUAGAGAAACUAAAGCUGAGGCUAUCCUACCUUACAAGAAAUGCCGAAAGGAGUUCAUCAAGUUGAAGUGAAAAAAUGCUACUAAGUGACAUGAAAACAUUUGAAAGUAUACCACACACUGGUAAAGGUAAAUAUGCAGUCUGAUUUUAAAAACUCUAAUUCUGUAACAGAAUCACGUAUUAGCCACUAAAUGAUAGUAUAAGGUUAAAGGAAAAUAGUAUUAAAAAUAACUAUAACUAU